This 448-nucleotide ribosomal RNA is filed under the name uncultured type I methanotroph. Its description in RNAcentral is "bacterial SSU rRNA". It matches the Rfam family "Bacterial small subunit ribosomal RNA", at positions 537 to 987 of the family's 1533-position model. Lineage: Bacteria; Pseudomonadati; Pseudomonadota; Gammaproteobacteria; Methylococcales; Methylococcaceae. The record is from RNAcentral.
GGCGUAUCGGAUCCUGGGCGUAAAGGGUGCGUAGGUGGUGAGGUAAGUCCGAUGUGAAAUCUCGGAGCUUAACUCCGAAAUGGCAUUGGAAACUACCUUGCUCGAGGGUUGGAGGGGGGACUGGAAUACUUGGUGUAGCAGUGAAAUGCGUAGAUAUCAAGUGGAACACCAGUGGCGAAGGCGAGUCCCUGGACAACUCCUGACACUGAGGCACGAAAGCUAGGGGAGCAAACAGGAUUAGAUACCCUGGUAGUCCUAGCCGUAAACGGUGCGUGUUUGCUGUAAAAGGAAUCGACCCCUUUUGUGGCGGAGCCAACGCGUUAAACACGCCGCCUGGGAAGUACGGUCGCAAGAUUAAAACUCAAAGAAAUUGACGGGGGCCUGCACAAGCGGUGGAGUAUGUGGCUCAAUUCGAUGCAACGCGAAGAACCUUACCUGGCCUUGACAU